Molecule: ribosomal RNA, 484 nt
Filed under: uncultured bacterium
Lineage: Bacteria
Description: partial 16S ribosomal RNA
Rfam family: Bacterial small subunit ribosomal RNA
Source: RNAcentral
AUUGAACGCUGGCGGCAGGCCUAACACAUGCAAGUCGAGCGGAUGAAGGGAGCUUGCUCCUGGAUUCAGCGGCGGACGGGUGAGUAAUGCCUAGGAAUCUGCCUGGUAGUGGGGGAUAACGUCCGGAAACGGGCGCUAAUACCGCAUACGUCCUGAGGGAGAAAGUGGGGGAUCUUCGGACCUCACGCUAUCAGAUGAGCCUAGGUCGGAUUAGCUAGUUGGUGGUGUAACGGCCUACCAAGGCGACGAUCCGUAACUGGUCUGAGAGGAUGAUCAGUCACACUGGAACUGAGACACGGUCCAGACUCCUACGGGAGGCAGCAGUGGGGAAUAUUGGACAAUGGGCGAAAGCCUGAUCCAGCCAUGCCGCGUGUGUGAAGAAGGUCUUCGGAUUGUAAAGCACUUUAAGUUGGGAGGAAGGGCAGUAAGUUAAUACCUUGCUGUUUUGACGUUACCAACAGAAUAAGCACCGGCUAACUUCGUG